Long non-coding RNA from Musa acuminata AAA Group (dessert banana), 741 nucleotides. RefSeq lists it as uncharacterized. The transcript has 2 exons. NCBI's taxonomy places the organism in Eukaryota, Viridiplantae, Streptophyta, Magnoliopsida, Zingiberales, Musaceae. The record is from RefSeq and is a predicted model, not a curated record.
CAGAGCUCAGAGGAGGGCGAAAACAGAGGUGACGGAUAGCUUGGGGUCGAUUUGGGACAUCAUGAGGCCGGGGAUCGCCGGCGCCGUCUUCGGACCGGGGUGGAGGUUCUGGGUCAACCCCGUCGUCUGGAGUGUCGUCAGGGCCGACGCCGUCGUCUGUUGUGCCUCCCCGCGUGGCAGUAGGCCUGCUGCUUAUACAAGAUGCACCCACGGAUAAGGGUCCGUAUGGAGGGGAGUUGAUGGUGUUUUGCAGUGUAUUUGUUUUGAUCAGGUUUGACUUCUCCACAUAAAAUCUUUGAAGAUAACGUUCACUGAUGUUGACUUUGUUUGCAGUGGGCUUGUAUAUUGGACUAGUCAUUCUCACGAUUGCGUGAGAAAAUUUGUUGGGCAUGGAUGGGGAAGAUAAAGGUAAAGCGACUAAUCCUCUUACGAAAACUAACGUGUCAAAUACAAAAAACAGUAGUAAUUUUCCCAAAAUUGUAUUUAUGUAGAUAAAUCGAGUGUAAAUUAGCAUGUUUGGUUGGUGCUCAGAAGAUGCACCAUGGUUGAUGACCAGUGCUGCUUGUUUUGAAGCAAAUGUCUCAUACCUGAGAAAGUGUCCUCACAAAAAAAUGUGCAAGUUCCUGAUUCAUCUUCCCUGGCCUCUCCCUUUGUCUUGUAAUUAUGUGGUUAUUCUUGUAAUGAGAAUAAGUGUUGCGCAUUUAAUGCGUAUCGUUGAAUUGAGAAAUGGUUCUGACAGUA